UGGCGCGAAGCUACCGUGC
Molecule: small RNA, 19 nt
Filed under: Arabidopsis thaliana (thale cress)
Lineage: Eukaryota; Viridiplantae; Streptophyta; Magnoliopsida; Brassicales; Brassicaceae
Description: Ath_wt_13251
Source: RNAcentral